ACCACUAAGCUUUAUGCUUAGCGCAUCGCUUUUUGUCACGCGUAGGUACUGGAGAUCAGGAUAGAGAGCCCAGUAGACCAUAUAUUGGGAUUUUUGAGAGACCAAAUCUGCACUUGAGUCUGGUGUCACUUCCUCUGCAGUGCAUUUUGGUAUGACCUGCUAGACUUCAUCAAAUAUUUUGUAUUUUGUAUUUAGAUAUUAAAUUUGUCAUGUAAACUAUAUACUCAUGCAAUUAUUUGUAAAUCAUGUAAAUUAAUG
This 258-nucleotide unclassified non-coding RNA is filed under the name Hevea brasiliensis (rubber tree). Lineage: Eukaryota; Viridiplantae; Streptophyta; Magnoliopsida; Malpighiales; Euphorbiaceae. The record is from RNAcentral.